GUAGUCCUAGCCGUAAACGUUGGGUGCUAGGUGUGGGCGGAUAUCGACCCCGUCCGUGCCGAAGCUAACGCAUUAAGCACCCCGCCUGGGGAGUACGGCCGCAAGGCUAAAACUCAAAGGAAUUGACGGGGCCCCGCACAAGCGGCGGAGCAUGCGGCUUAAUUCGAUGCGACGCGAAGAACCUUACCUGGGUUUGACAUGCAGGGUGAAACCCGUGAAAGCGGGCGCUCUUCGGAGCCUGCACAGGUGGUGCAUGGCUGUCGUCAGCUCGUGCCGUGAGGUGUUGCCUUAAGUGGCGCAACGAGCGCAACCCCUGUCCUUAGUUGCCAGCGGAUCAUGCCGGGAACUCUAGGGAGACUGCCGGUGCCAAACCGGA
This 376-nucleotide ribosomal RNA is filed under the name uncultured bacterium. Its description in RNAcentral is "bacterial SSU rRNA". It matches the Rfam family "Bacterial small subunit ribosomal RNA", at positions 790 to 1167 of the family's 1533-position model. The record is from RNAcentral.